GGGCGUGGAUGCUGGUCAAUGGCGCCCGCGCGGAGCCAGCCUUGCGGAAGCUGCUGGAGUACCCAACCUAUCACGAGGUGCCUGUUGGUGCCGGAAGUGGAGUCUUUUCUGUGGCUGCUGUGUCACCCUAUUAUCGUUUUAACUUGGAUAUUUUCUACACUGGCUAGGAAGAGUCAGCAUUCGGUUAUGAUAUUUUGAGUUCGGAAUUUGCCCUGGACUACCUGAUGAUCUGUCUUAGCUAUGACCACAACUUGACAAGACAAUGUGAAGAACAUGUAAAUCAGAAUAACGCUUGGACCCAGAUAUCUGGCCAUUCCCAAGACCUUGAAGGGACACUGGGUCACAUCCAGGGUUCGCUUCCUUCCACGCCCCGCUAUCGCCUUCCUUCGGAUUGGCUGAUCGAGGACAUCUCAAACUGUACUAGACGGCGAUUGGCUAUUGCCAGGCCAGGGGAGUCCGCGGACUCCGGAGGAGAAUGAGGUCGGGCGAAGGAGUCCAGGCAGCCAGUGUCUAAUUUCGGCAUAGUUCAACAUUUUAUCUGAAACCAAACUGAGGUAGUUAAGAGCCAUGGCCUUCUCUGUACCCUGUUGCCGUGAUCUGGGGGCUGUGAGAUCCAGAUGGUGAAGCUUCAAGAUGGAAUGGACUUGCAGAUCCACACCAUAAGUCUCCAGAUCAAGAAGAGCCACAUCUGGACCUGAUAAGAAAGACUAUCAUGAGAUCCUGAAUUUUGAAAUAAUGUCAUAAUUGAGUGACACUGUUAUCUUCCUUGGGAAGGGGCAAGUGUCCUUUAUAUGCAGAAGGGAAGUUAAUAUUUAUGCCCAAAAUAGCUAACUGUGGUAGACUGUGUUCUUUCCUGACUCUGAACCCCAGUACUCUCCUGCUAUAAGGAGAAAUAUACUUUCCUGCCUCAAUGAUGUUUGGCUUGGUUAAUGUGUACCUUUUUCAAGCAGAAACUCUGUGCUUGUAUAUAAUUUGACAUGGCUCUGUAAGCACCUGCCCUCUGCCAUGAGAAUGUAUUUCAGAUAGUGGCUAUUCCCUCAACUAAGUCCUAGAAUGAUCAAUGGAACUGCAGACCCAAGACAGAAAUAAAUGGUUGUUAUAA
Non-coding RNA from Microcebus murinus (gray mouse lemur), 1102 nucleotides. Lineage: Eukaryota; Metazoa; Chordata; Mammalia; Primates; Cheirogaleidae. The record is from RefSeq and is a predicted model, not a curated record.